UAGGUCCAUACCUCUUCAAACUGGGCAUC
RNAcentral lists this non-coding RNA (29 nucleotides) under Rattus norvegicus (Norway rat). The record is from RNAcentral. Lineage: Eukaryota; Metazoa; Chordata; Mammalia; Rodentia; Muridae.